CAAGCGGUGGAGCAUGUGGUUUAAUUCGAUGCAACGCGAAGAACCUUACCUACUCUUGACAUCCAGCGAACUUUCCAGAGAUGGAUUGGUGCCUUCGGGAACGCUGAGACAGGUGCUGCAUGGCUGUCGUCAGCUCGUGUUGUGAAAUGUUGGGUUAAGUCCCGCAACGAGCGCAACCCUUAUCCUUUGUUGCCAGCGAUUCGGUCGGGAACUCAAAGGAGACUGCCGGUGAUAAACCAGAGGAAGGUGGGGAUGACGUCAAGUCAUCAUGGCCCUUACGAGUAGGGCUACACACGUGCUACAAUGGCGCAUACAAAGAGAAGCGACCUCGCGAGAGCAAGCGGACCUCACAAAGUGCGUCGUAGUCCGGAUCGGAGUCUGCAACUCGACUCCGUGAAGUCGGAAUCGCUAGUAAUCGUGGAUCAGAAUGCCACGGUGAAUACGUUCCCGGGCCUUGUACACACC
This 465-nucleotide ribosomal RNA is filed under the name uncultured bacterium. RNAcentral describes it as "bacterial SSU rRNA". It matches the Rfam family "Bacterial small subunit ribosomal RNA", at positions 926 to 1391 of the family's 1533-position model. The record is from RNAcentral.